RNAcentral lists this unclassified non-coding RNA (240 nucleotides) under soil metagenome. Its description in RNAcentral is "partial contains 5.8S ribosomal RNA, internal transcribed spacer 2, and large subunit ribosomal RNA". The record is from RNAcentral.
AACACUGUUAACCUGCGGUACCUGCGGAAGGAUCAUUACAGAGUGUAAAAACUCCCAAACCCCUGUGAACGUACCUGUCGUUGCUUCGGCGGAUCGCCCCGGGCGCUGCAAGGUGCCCCGGAGUCAGGCGCCCGCCGGAGGACCACAAACUCUUGUUUUAUACCGGAAUUCUCUGAGUGGCAUGUCUCAUGCAAAAACAAAAUGAAUCAAAACUUUCAACAACGGAUCUCAGAUCGGAAG